RNAcentral lists this ribosomal RNA (480 nucleotides) under uncultured bacterium. RNAcentral describes it as "bacterial SSU rRNA". It matches the Rfam family "Bacterial small subunit ribosomal RNA", at positions 9 to 524 of the family's 1533-position model. The record is from RNAcentral.
GAGUUUGAUCUUGGCUCAGGAUGAGCGCUGGCGGCGUGCCUAAUACAUGCAAGUCGAGCGGUAAGGCUCCUUCGGGAGUACACGAGCGGCGGACGGCUGAGUAACACGUAGGAACGUACCCCAAAGUGAGGGAUAACUGCUCGAAAGAGUAGCUAAUACCGCAUGUGAUCCACGGAUUAAAGCUUUAUGCGCUUUGGGAACGGCCUGCGUCCGAUUAGCUAGUUGGUAGAGUAAAAGCCUACCAAGGCGACGAUCGGUAGCUGGUCUGAGAGGAUGAUCAGCCAGACUGGGACUGAGACACGGCCCAGACUCCUACGGGAGGCAGCAGUAGGGAAUUUUCCACAAUGGGCGAAAGCCUGAUGGAGCAACGCCGCGUGCAGGAUGAAUGUCUUCGGAUUGUAAACUGCUUUUGUUGGUGACGAUUAUGACGGUAACCAACGAAUAAGGGUCUGCUAACUACGUGCCAGCAGCCGCGGUAAC